GCCUGAUGAUAAGGUUCUUCUGACCAGGAAUUUUUUGCAGCACACAGAGCUCAUUUGGGAUCUGACCACUCUUAUUAUCAUUCCCUUUUGCAGUGUACUAUGUGGAUAUCUUUUUCAAUUUCCAUGAAUAUUGACAGAGAUCUAUGCAGUGAAGUGAUGUGAAACUUUCUCAGCGAUUUUCAAGCUAUGCAACCCAUAAAUCAUUCGCCU
Molecule: long non-coding RNA, 210 nt
Filed under: Cyanistes caeruleus (blue tit)
Lineage: Eukaryota; Metazoa; Chordata; Aves; Passeriformes; Paridae
Description: lncRNA (ENSCCEG00000007645.1)
Source: RNAcentral